RNAcentral lists this ribosomal RNA (1430 nucleotides) under uncultured bacterium. RNAcentral's name for it is "bacterial SSU rRNA". It matches the Rfam family "Bacterial small subunit ribosomal RNA". The record is from RNAcentral.
CAUGCAAGUCGAACGGAAAUCUUUUAGAUUUUAGUGGCGAACGGGUGAGUAACACGUAAGCAACCUGCCUUUAAGACGAGAAUAACAAUUGGAAACAGUUGCUAAGGCUGGAUAGGAAAUAAAAAGGCAUCUUUUUAUUUUUAAAAGACCUUUUUCGGAAGGUAUGCUUAAAGAGGGGCUUGCGUCACAUUAGUUAGUUGGUAGGGUAAAGGCCUACCAAGACGAUGAUGUGUAGCUGGACUGAGAGGUUGAACAGCCACAUUGGGACUGAGACACGGCCCAAACUCCUACGGGAGGCAGCAGUAGGGAAUUUUCGGCAAUGGAGGAAACUCUGGCCGAGCAACGCCGCGUGAACGACGAAGUACUUCGGUAUGUAAAGUUCUUUUAUUGAAGAAGAAACAAUAGUGGAAAAACUAUCUUGACGUUAUUCAAUGAAUAAGCCCCGGCUAACUAUGUGCCAGCAGCCGCGGUAAUACAUAGGGGGCGAGCGUUAUCCGGAAUUAUUGGGCGUAAAGGGUGCGUAGGCGGUUUAAUAAGUCUCUAGUUUAAUUUCAACGCUUAACGUUGUCCUGCUAGAGAAACUGUUUAACUAGAGUGAGAUAGAGGUAAGCGGAAUUCCAUGUGUAGCGGUAAAAUGUGUAAAUAUAUGGAGGAACACCAGAGGCGUAGGCGGCUUACUGGGUCUUUACUGACGCUGAUGCACGAAAGCGUGGGGAGCAAACAGGAUUAGAUACCCUGGUAGUCCACGCCGUAAACUAUGAGUACUAAGUGUCGGGGUUAAACUCGGUACUGAAGUUAACACAUUAAGUACUCCGCCUGAGUAGUACGUACGCAAGUAUGAAACUUAAAGGAAUUGACGGGAUCCCGCACAAGCGGUGGAUCAUGUUGUUUAAUUCGAAGAUACACGAAAAACCUUACCAGGUCUUGACAUACUCUGCAAAGCUAUAGAAAUAUAGUGGAGGUUAUCAGGGAUACAGGUGGUGCAUGGUUGUCGUCAGCUCGUGUCGUGAGAUGUUAGGUUAAGUUCUAAAACGAGCGCAACCCCUGUCGUUAAUUGCCAGCACGUUAUGGUGGGGACUUUAGCGAGACUGCCAAUGAAAAAUUGGAGGAAGGUGGGGAUUACGUCAAAUCAUCAUGCCCCUUAUGAUCUGGGCUACAAACGUGAUACAAUGGCUAUUACAAAGAGUAGCUGAAACGCGAGUUUUCGGCAAAUCUCAAAAAAAUAGUCUCAGUUCGGAUUGAAGUCUGCAACUCGACUUCAUGAAGUUGGAAUCGCUAGUAAUCGCGAAUCAGCAUGUCGCGGUGAAUACGUUCUCGGGGUUUGUACACACCGCCCGUCAAACCACGAAAGUGGACAAUACCCGAAAGCGACAGCCUAACUGCGUAAGCAGAGGGAAUCGUCUAAGGUAGGGUCGAUGAUUGGGGUUAAG